GAUGAACGCUGGCGGCGUGCCUAAUACAUGCAAGUCUAGCGAACGGACGAGAAGCUUGCUUCUCUGAUGUUAGCGGCGGACGGGUGAGUAACACGUGGAUAACCUACCUAUAAGACUGGGAUAACUUCGGGAAACCGGAGCUAAUACCGGAUAAUAUUUUGAACCGCAUGGUUCAAAAGUAAAAGACGGUCUUGCUGUCACUUAUAGAUGGAUCCGCGCUGCAUUAGCUAGUUGGUAAGGUAACGGCUUACCAAGGCAACGAUGCAUAGCCGACCUGAGAGGGUGAUCGGCCACACUGGAACUGAGACACGGUCCAGACUCCUACGGGAGGCAGCAGUAGGGAAUCUUCCGCAAUGGGCGAAAGCCUGACGGAGCAACGCCGCGUGAGUGAUGAAGGUCUUCGGAUCGUAAAACUCUGUUAUUAGGGAAGAACAUAUGUGUAAGUAACUGUGCACAUCUUGACGGUACCUAAUCAGAAAGCCACGGCUAACUACGUG
This 497-nucleotide ribosomal RNA is filed under the name uncultured bacterium. RNAcentral describes it as "partial 16S ribosomal RNA". It matches the Rfam family "Bacterial small subunit ribosomal RNA", at positions 28 to 507 of the family's 1533-position model. The record is from RNAcentral.